Molecule: ribosomal RNA, 433 nt
Filed under: uncultured bacterium
Lineage: Bacteria
Description: partial 16S ribosomal RNA
Rfam family: Bacterial small subunit ribosomal RNA
Source: RNAcentral
AACGAACGCUGGCGGCAUGCCUAACACAUGCAAGUCGAACGAGACCUUCGGGUCUAGUGGCGCACGGGUGCGUAACGCGUGGGAACCUGCCCUUAGGUUAGGAAUCACUCCUCGAAAGGGGUGCUAAUACCGGAUAAUGUUUUCGGACCCAAGUUUGAUCGCAUAUGGAUGGGGCCGCGUUGGAUUAGCUAGUUGGUAGGGUAAAGGCCUAACAAGGGGACGAUCCAUAGCUGGUCUGAGAGGAUGAUCAGCCACACUGGGACUGAGACACGGCCCAGACUCCUACGGGAGGAAGCAGUGGUGAAUAUUGGACACUGGGCGAAAGACGGAUCCAUCAAUGCCGUGUGAGUGAUUAAGGCCUUAGGGUUGUAAAGCUCUUUUACCCGGGAUGAUAAUGACAGUACCGGAAGAAUAAGCCCCGGCUAACUCCGUG